AGCACCGCCUGCCGGUCUCCAGGCCCGGGGGAUCCCCAGCGUUCCUGGGUGGGCCAGGCUGAGUAGGUGCUGUUAGUCCGUGGAACCCGCAGGUUUGCCAGGCAAGGGCAGGUUAGGAGAAGAACUGGAUGGUGGAGGGGCGUAGUUUGAUUCUAGUUUGACAUGUAGAAAACUUCCGAAGUCCUGGAAGCGGGGUUAUUGAAACCCAACAACCGAGACGAGACACCUACUACCUAUAAAGCAGAACUUAAAAGAAAUCAGUUCUCCUAGCUGAAAGCAGUCUAGCAGCUCCUGCUCAGGUUCCGACCCCCCUUUCCUCCCCUGGUACCUAUAAGGUAGACAGUCAUAUUCCUGUAAAUAAAGUUUUUGUAACCCCCGAGGAACUAUGUUCUCUGUAAACAACUAUGCUCUGUAAAAAAGUUUAUGACACUGUCCCCAUAUUAUUCAUAAGAUGGUCUUCUUACAAGGCUAAAUUACUAAACUGUCUGCCAUUGUCCUGUUCUGGUAAACUCACUGCGUCACUAGAAAGAUCACCAACACCCUUUAACUAAAUGUAUAAAAACUGGAACUUUCCUUUGUUCAGUCACCCAAAAUUUUGGACAGGAGUUCGGCUGGGUCAGGUGAACACCUGAUAAAAUCCUCCUGAUUCCCAUUUGGUCUCUUGUCCUUUGGAAUUCUACAACAACUAAGUGGUUACCAUUUGUGAAGCUUGGCCCUCGGUCUUUGUAUUUAGUUUACAUUCACUAUCCCCCCCACCAUCCACCUGUGAUGUUUUAAGAACAUUCUCAGGUGUGAAUCGUCUUAAUCACAUGGAACUUUAAGUUCUCGGGCAUGUUUACUUAAAUCCAGAAUCUGUGUUUCUUGUGGAAACAGUCCAGACCUCGCUCAAGGGUGCCCCAGUAUCUAAGAGCCUAGUCAUUCAUACCACUUGUUGGUCUGGUCUCUGUAGAAUAUACAGGCACCCCAAACCUGUAUUCCCAGAUCUUUGCAACAAGAUGCAAUCUAGAACCGUAUAUGAUCAUUGCAAAGUAAAUGCCAAGUUGUGAGAAGAGGCAGUUAUGAGAAGAGUCUAAAUAUAUGACUUUGAACCAUUUCUUUAAUCAUUCUCAGUUGUAUCCUUGGGUGAAACUGGGACAGAAGCUGACCUACUUAUGGAGUGCAUGCUUCACACCUGAGUCUAAACUUCCCUCAUGAACUGGAAGGUUCUAAAUAUACUCUAGUGCAGAGCAGGGAGUUCUUCUGGAACACUGCACUUUGUCUCUGCUUUUCUCCAUGUGCCAGCCCAUGGAUGCACUUUUCAGUCUUUUCGUGUGUCAUGAUGUGAUUAAAAACUGAAUCCUGUUCGCUAUGAACUCAGUCACCCACCCCCAUUCACAUAUUAAAACCCUAACCUCCAGUGUAACUGUUCUAGGUAAUUAAAGUUAAAUGAGGUCAUAAGUGUGGGGUUCUAAUCCAGUAGGAUUGGUAGUCUUGUAAAAAGAGAAAGAGAGCUCUCUUGCCAUACCCAUGCACUGAGGAAAGGCCAUUGUGAGCAUGUGGGGAGAAGAUGGGCAUCUGCAAGCCAGGGAGAAGACCCUUACCAGCCCCUGACUACCCUGACUGCAGACUUCCAGCUUCCAGCGCUGUGGCUACUAGUAUUUAUUCUCUGAUGAUCCUGAGAAAGAAAAAAAGCAAGAGGAAAAGGUUGGAGCUAGACACCUUUGCAUUUGGAUUCCAGUUCUUUCAGCCUUCCAACAAACCCUUCAGCCUUCCAACAUGGACUCACACCAGACUCUGAAGUGAGCUCCAGGCCUUUGACUUUCCACUGGAUCCUCCAACUCUUCAGCACACAGGCAGCAAUUUUGCAUUCUCCUACUCUGAUUCCACUGUAAGACUACUUGGUAAAGCAUAUAUAUUCUGUCCUGCUAGUGAACCCUAAUGGAUAAAAUAUUCUGUUGAGAGGACUGUUCACUCAAGUUACACUUGAUUAAAAUGUCCUUGUU
Molecule: long non-coding RNA, 1982 nt
Organism: Heterocephalus glaber (naked mole-rat)
Lineage: Eukaryota; Metazoa; Chordata; Mammalia; Rodentia; Bathyergidae
Source: RefSeq, a predicted model, not a curated record